RNAcentral lists this microRNA precursor (60 nucleotides) under Monodelphis domestica (gray short-tailed opossum). RNAcentral describes it as "mir-7398 microRNA precursor family". It matches the Rfam family "mir-7398 microRNA precursor family". Lineage: Eukaryota; Metazoa; Chordata; Mammalia; Didelphimorphia; Didelphidae. The record is from Rfam by way of RNAcentral.
UGUGUGGAGGAGAGUGAGGGUACUGUACACUAUCUGGUAACCCUUCCAUACUCUCACAUU